Molecule: ribosomal RNA, 350 nt
Filed under: Klebsiella pneumoniae
Lineage: Bacteria; Pseudomonadati; Pseudomonadota; Gammaproteobacteria; Enterobacterales; Enterobacteriaceae
Description: bacterial LSU rRNA
Rfam family: Bacterial large subunit ribosomal RNA
Source: RNAcentral
CGCCAUUUAAAGUGGUACGCGAGCUGGGUUUAGAACGUCGUGAGACAGUUCGGUCCCUAUCUGCCGUGGGCGCUGGAGAAUUGAGGGGGGCUGCUCCUAGUACGAGAGGACCGGAGUGGACGCAUCACUGGUGUUCGGGUUGUCAUGCCAAUGGCACUGCCCGGUAGCUAAAUGCGGAAGAGAUAAGUGCUGAAAGCAUCUAAGCACGAAACUUGCCCCGAGAUGAGUUCUCCCUGAGACUAUAAGUCUCCUGAAGGAACGUUAAAGACGAUGACGUUGAUAGGCCGGGUGUGUAAGCGCAGCGAUGCGUUGAGCUAACCGGUACUAAUGAACCGUGAGGCUUAACCUUA